ACAUGCAAGUCGAACGAAGUAGCAAUACUUAGUGGCAGACGGGUGAGUAACAUGUAGGUAUCUGCCCUUUGGCCUGGAAUAACACGAGGAAACUUGUGCUAAUACCGGAUAAGUCUUUACGGAGAAAGCUUUAUGCACCAUUGGAUGAGCCUGCACUAGAUUAGUUUGUUGGUGGGGUAAUGGCCUACCAAGACUGUGAUCUAUAGCUGAUUUGAGAGGAUGAUCAGCCACAUUGGGACUGAGACACGGCCCAAACUCCUACGGGAGGCAGCAGUGGGGAAUCUUGCACAAUGGAGGAAACUCUGAUGCAGCGAUGCCGCGUGAGUGAAGAAGGCCUUUGGGUUGUAAAGCUCUUUCGUCGGGGAAGAAAAUGACUGUACCCGAAUAAGAAGGUCCGGCUA
This 401-nucleotide ribosomal RNA is filed under the name uncultured Pseudomonadota bacterium. RNAcentral's name for it is "bacterial SSU rRNA". It matches the Rfam family "Bacterial small subunit ribosomal RNA", at positions 53 to 499 of the family's 1533-position model. Lineage: Bacteria; Pseudomonadati; Pseudomonadota. The record is from RNAcentral.